Molecule: long non-coding RNA, 1332 nt
Organism: Bos taurus (domestic cattle)
Lineage: Eukaryota; Metazoa; Chordata; Mammalia; Artiodactyla; Bovidae
Source: Ensembl
AGGAUUGCUCACGUUACUUCAGCCAAUCAGAGAACUGUGCAUGAGUGGAUUGCUUAUCAUGUAGCCCCCCUCCCUCACCAGGCCUUUCAAAAUACUUUGCUGAAACCUUCUGGGGAGUUGGGGGUUUGGGGGGCAAGAAAGAAAGUGAAGUCGCUCAGUGGUGUCCGACUCUUUGCGACCCCGUGGACUGUAGCCUACCAGGCUUCUCCAUCCAUAGGAUUCUCCAGGCAAGAAUACUGGAGUGGGUUACUGUUUCCUUCUCCAGAGGAUCUUCCUGACCCAAGGAUUGAACCCAGGUCUCCUGCAUUGGAGGCAGACACUUUAACCACUGAGCCACCAGGGAGCGACCCAUUUUCCUUGCAUGGCCUGCAGUAAGCCUUUCUCUGUUCCAAACACCAACAUUUCAGUACUGUUUGGCCUCACUGUGCCAUCAGGCACAAGGACUUGGCCUUUGGGAACAAGAGAAACAGAGGCCUGAGCCCCUUUCCAGAAGAUUUCCCAGCUGAGCUGAUUGGCUGUGGCAUUAGUCCAGGUAACCAAGUACCCUUUCCACGCAGAAGCAGCAGACCCAGAGUCAUAGCCAAGCACAAGCACAUACGUCUUUCACAGAGCACUGCGCUCUCUCAGGGCCGAGUCUCACCUUGGAGGUUGAUGAUGCUCCGAAGUCACGGGGAGCUGGAGCCCAUCUCCACCGACAGCCGUCUGGCUUUUGGAUUCCAGUCACAUUCUUCACCAGCCGAAGGGAGUGCUCAAGGCCCUUCUGUCCAUGGGAUUCUCCAGGCAAGACUACUGAAGUGGAUUGCCAUGUCCUCCUCCAGGGAUCUUCCUGACCCAGGGAUCGAACCCACACCUUUUAUGUCUCCUGCAUUGACAGAGAUAUGUAGCCUCACUUGUCUGGCAUCUUAUCCAAGAAGACUUCCUUUUCUCUGGUUCCCUGUGGAAUGCAUAUUAAGCCAUUGGAGAGAGAAGAGUGGACAAAUGUGCUCUAUUACGCCAGAAAUUGCCAGGCACUACUUGUUUACAGCACCUGUAACACCAGAUAGAUGCGACCUUCUGGACAGUGGUCUUGAAGUCAGAUUUCAGCCAGUUACCAUCAUCUUGUCCCAUUCCAUCACUGGUGGCUCAGAGGGUGAAGAAUUUGCCUUCAAUGUAGGAGAUCCGAGUUGGAUCCCUGGGUCCGGAAGAUCCCCUGGAGAAGGUAAUGCCUACCCGCACCAGAAUUCUUAUCUGGAGAAUUCUAUGGACAGAGGAGCCUGGCAGGCUACAGUCCAUGUGGUUGCAAAGAGUUGGAUAUGACUGAACAACUAAUGCUUUCAUUUUGUCCCAUUCCAG